AACGAACGCUGGCGGCAGGCUUAACACAUGCAAGUCGAGCGGAAACGAUGGGAGCUUGCUCCCAGGCGUCGAGCGGCGGACGGGUGAGUAACGCGUAGGAAUCUACCCAGUAGAGGGGGAUAGCCCGGGGAAACCCGGAUUAAUACCGCAUACGCCCUAAGGGGGAAAGGCCGGGAUCUUCGGACCGGUCACUAUUGGAUGAGCCUGCGUAAGAUUAGCUAGUUGGUAGGGUAAUGGCCUACCAAGGCGACGAUCUUUAGCUGGUCUGAGAGGAUGAUCAGCCACACUGGGACUGAGACACGGCCCAGACUCCUACGGGAGGCAGCAGUGGGGAAUAUUGCGCAAUGGGGGAAACCCUGACGCAGCGACGCCGCGUGGGUGAGGAAGGUUUUAGGAUCGUAAAGCCCUGUCAAGUGGGAAGAAGAAAGUGACGGUACCANUAAAGGAAGCACCGCUAAC
RNAcentral lists this ribosomal RNA (459 nucleotides) under uncultured bacterium. RNAcentral's name for it is "bacterial SSU rRNA". It matches the Rfam family "Bacterial small subunit ribosomal RNA", at positions 29 to 501 of the family's 1533-position model. The record is from RNAcentral.